CAUUUCCAGACACUCGAUGCCAAGAGGACUCAGACUGUGGAAAUUCCGUGCUCCCCGCCCUCACCAAGGUUAAAUGCCUCCCUCUCGGUUCAUCCUGAGAAAGAUGAGUUAAUCCUUUUUGGAGGUGAAUAUUUCAACGGCCAAAAAGUAAAGUAUAUAUUUUUUUCUUUUCUUCCCAUGUUGCAUGAGUAUCAUUUGACAGAAAGUUAACUUAAGGUAGUGACAUCAAAUAUGCGUUAGCCCCUUCACCCCCUUGUAUCACGCGCUUGAGCCGUCAGGGCUCAUGUGAGACGUCGCCAGGAUGGUCCAGGCCCUGGCAUGACUGUUGAUGACUUCAGUGGUCCUGGGGUCUCUAUUCCUGGGACUUAGGCUGAGGCCCAGCUCUGCCGUCAUCACUCUUGGCGGGCGCACCCCUCUUUGUGGUUGUCUGUGCUGUUCUUCCUCCCAGCGGGUUUCCAGGUUUCACACUCAGCUUUCAGGUUGUCUUAAACACGGAAAGUGCUGAUAAAUUUUAGGGCUAAUUUUUAUUUUUGAGCAGGCCAGUGAGACCUGUGUUUCACAAUUGUGUGUGAAACACAAAAGCAGGAGCUCACCUUCCCUGCAGCCCGGGAUGGGCCUUGGGGGUUUGACUGCAUUUGUCCAUCUUCGUCUCUCAGUUUUCGUGCAUUCAGAAACUAGGCUUGACUGGGUACAGUGGCUCCCAAAUGCCAGCACUUUGGGAGGCCGAGGUGGGCAGAUCACCUGAGGUCAGGAGUUUGAGAGCAGUCUGGCCAAUGUGGUGAAACCCAGUCUCUGCUAACGAUACAAAAAUUAGCUGGGCGUGGUGGCGGGCGCCUGUAGUCCCAGCUACUCGGAGGCUGAGGCAGAGAAUCGCUUGAACCUGGGAGGCGGAGGUUGCAGUGAGCAAAGAUUGUGCCAUUGCACUCCAUUGUGGGCAACAGCGAGACUUCAUCUCGAACAAAACAAAAACAAAAAAACUAGGCUGGAAUUAGGAGAAUGACCAGUCCUAAUAACAGCGAGGGCUUUCAGUACCUUCCAGAUUGAUGGGCCCGGUGGGCGUUCAGUCGUUUUCAUUGUGUCGUCAUCCCCAGGGGCCCCGGGGACCCAGCCCAUGGCCUCCCUGUGCUGGUGUGGUUUACAUUCCUUUAGCAUGUCACUUUCCCAGGGAAUUGUCAUGAUUAAGAUUGUUCUCACCACUUCCUUGGAAGCGUAUCAUUUGUGACACUGACAUUCUUCUUCCUUCCUGUAGACUUCUUUGUAUAACGAGCUCUAUGUCUACAAUAUCAGAAAGGACACCUGGACCAAAGUUGACAUCCCCAGUCCACCUCCGAGGCGCUGUGCUCACCAGGCGGUGGUGGUGCCUCAAGGUGGCGGACAGCUGUGGGUCUUUGGAGGGGAGUUUGCCUCUCCCAACGGAGAGCAGUUCUACCACUACAAGGAUCUCUGGGUCCUGCAUUUGGCCACCAAGACCUGGGAACAAGUCAAAUCAACAGGCGGUCCUUCGGGUCGGAGUGGACAUCGGAUGGUGGCCUGGAAGAGACAAUUGAUCCUUUUUGGUGGCUUCCAUGAAAGUACACGGGAUUACAUCUACUACAACGACGUGUAUGCCUUUAAUCUGGACACCUUCACAUGGAGCACGCUGUCCCCGUCAGGGACGGGGCCCACACCCAGAUCAGGCUGCCAGAUGUCCGUCACUCCCCAGGGCGGCAUCGUCGUCUAUGGGGGCUACUCGAAACAGAGAGUUAAGAAAGACGUAGACAAGGGCACACGGCACUCAGACAUGUUCCUGCUGAAGCCGGAGGACGGAAGAGAAGACAAGUGGGUUUGGACUCGGAUGAACCCUUCGGGGGUCAAGCCCACCCCACGGUCUGGCUUUUCCGUGGCCAUGGCCCCGAAUCACCAGACACUGUUCUUCGGGGGUGUCUGUGACGAGGAAGAGGAGGAGAGCCUGUCGGGCGAGUUCUUCAACGAUCUGUACUUCUACGACGCCACCAGGAACCGUUGGUUUGAGGGACAGCUGAAGGGACCCAAGUCUGAAAAGAAGAAACGCAGGCGGGGCAGAAAAGAGGAGCCCGAAGGUGGUAGCAAGCCAGCGUGUGGGGGAGCUGGCACCCAGGGGCCUGUGCAGGUGGUCAAGGAGGUGGUGGCCGAGGAUGGCACCGUGGUCACCAUUAAGCAGGUGCUCACCGCCCCAGGCUCGGUGGGGCAGCCCCGGUCUGAGGACGAAG
RNAcentral lists this small RNA (2228 nucleotides) under Pan troglodytes (chimpanzee). RNAcentral describes it as "retained intron". Lineage: Eukaryota; Metazoa; Chordata; Mammalia; Primates; Hominidae. The record is from RNAcentral.